This 1090-nucleotide ribosomal RNA is filed under the name uncultured organism. Its description in RNAcentral is "bacterial SSU rRNA". It matches the Rfam family "Bacterial small subunit ribosomal RNA", at positions 106 to 1199 of the family's 1533-position model. The record is from RNAcentral.
GUGCGCAACACGUAUGCAACCUGCCUUUCGGCGCGGGACAACGUCUGGAAACGGGCGCUAAUACCGCAUAACACCGUUUGCUCGCAUGGGCAGGCGGUCAAAGGAGCAAUUCGCCGAAAGAUGGGCAUGCGUCUGAUUAGUUAGUUGGCAGGGUAACGGCCUACCAAGACGAUGAUCAGUAGCUGGUCUGAGAGGAUGAUCAGCCACACUGGCACUGAGACACGGGCCAGACUCCUACGGGAGGCAGCAGUAAGGAAUAUUGGGCAAUGGGCGAAAGCCUGACCCAGCCAUGCCGCGUGAGGGAAGACGGUUCUAGGAUUGUAAACCUCUUUUCUCCGGGACUAAGGCCCCAGUCGCUGGGGUUUGCAGGUACCGGAGGAAUAAGCGCCGGCAAACUACGUGCCAGCAGCCGCGGUAAUACGUAGGGCGCAAGCGUUGUCCGGAUUUACUGGGUUUAAAGGGUGCGUAGGCGGACUUUUAAGUCGGUGAUGAAAUGCUCGGGCUCAACUCGCAGCGCUGUUACCGAUACUGAAAGUCUUGAGACUGCGCGAGGCGGCUGGAAUGAAUGGUGUAGCGGUGAAAUGCGUAGAGAUCAUUCAGAACACCGAUUGCGAAGGCAGGUCGCCAGAGCAGGUCUGACGCUGAGGCACGAAAGCGCGGGGAGCGAACAGGAUUAGAUACCCUGGUAGUCCGCGCCGUAAACGAUGGAUACUCGACGUCCGUUCUUCGGAGGGGGCGUCCAAGCAAACGCGAUAAGUAUCCCACCUGGGGAGUACGCUCGCAAGAGUGAAACUUAAAGGAAUUGACGGGGGCCCGCACUAGCGGUGGAGCAUGUGGUUUAAUUCGAUGAUACGCGAGGAACCUUACCUGGGCUUGAAUGAGCGCGACCGCCUCCGAAAAGAGGCUUUCAUUCGGGACGCAAAGCAAGGCGAGGCAUGGUUGUCGUCAGCUCGUGCCGUGAGGUGUUGGGUUAAGUCUCGCAACGAGCGCAACCCCUAUUGUUAGUUGCCAGCGAGUAAUGUCGGGGACUCUAACAAGACCGCCCUCGUAAGGGGUGAGGAAGGCGGGGACGACGUCAAAUCAUCAUGGC